This 119-nucleotide ribosomal RNA is filed under the name Pteropus alecto (black flying fox). Lineage: Eukaryota; Metazoa; Chordata; Mammalia; Chiroptera; Pteropodidae. The record is from RNAcentral. RNAcentral also lists the same sequence under 1 other name.
GUCUAUGGCCAUGCCACCCUGAAUGUGCCCAAUCUCAUCUGAUCUCGGAAGCUAAGCAGGGUUGGGCCUGGUUAGUACUUGGAUGAGAGAUCACCUCAGAAUAUCAAGUGCUGUAGGCA